RNAcentral lists this small nucleolar RNA (131 nucleotides) under Ophiophagus hannah (king cobra). RNAcentral describes it as "Small nucleolar RNA U109". It matches the Rfam family "Small nucleolar RNA U109". The record is from Rfam by way of RNAcentral. Lineage: Eukaryota; Metazoa; Chordata; Lepidosauria; Squamata; Elapidae.
CUGCAUGAUGGAAACGGUUAAUUCUUCCUUCCAAGGAGAAUGAGUAUUCCUUCAGUGCUAUAAAACGAGGACUUUUCAGAGCCACCUGCCUUGAAGCACAGGCUGCGUGGUAGCAUGUUUCUCCAACACAA